UACGUACGCACGCGUUUACUGGUGCAUGUAUACAGCUAAGAGGUACCACAUCCACGUUAGACCGUUGUCAUAAACGAGCUGAAUGUUGUGAAACGAAGGUGAAGAAAGAAGAGAACCGACGGGAAGUCAGGCAGAAAAAGAGCGAGAAAUAAAUCGAGAAA
Molecule: long non-coding RNA, 161 nt
Organism: Habropoda laboriosa
Lineage: Eukaryota; Metazoa; Arthropoda; Insecta; Hymenoptera; Apidae
Exons: 2
Source: RefSeq, a predicted model, not a curated record